This 460-nucleotide long non-coding RNA is filed under the name Numida meleagris (helmeted guineafowl). Its description in RNAcentral is "lncRNA (ENSNMEG00000006322.1)". Lineage: Eukaryota; Metazoa; Chordata; Aves; Galliformes; Numididae. The record is from RNAcentral.
GGGUAUUUCCCAUUAUUUUGUCACUAAUCCGCCUUUACUCCUGGCUUACUCAGCCCUUACUCUGCGAUUACUCUGCCCUUACUCGGGGUCACUCAUGCUGAGUGUCCCUACUCAGACCUUACUCCAGGUUUGCUCAACCCUUACUCUGACUUUACUCAACCCUUACUCUGGUCUUACUCAGCCCUUACUCGGGGUCACCCCAUGCAUGCGUGCCCUUACUCAGCCCUUACUACAGGUUUGCUCAUGGGGUUGUGGCAGGGGCCUUACUCACCCCACACUUUUGAUUAUUCGGUACUUUGUCCCUACUCAAUCCUUACUCUGAGUUUACUCAGCCCUUACUUUGGGUGUUACCCGUUAUUAUUUCACUGCUCAGCCUUUACUCCAAGUCUGCUCAGCCCUUACUAAGAUAGUAUUUGAUGCUUUGUCCGUACUCAAUCCUUACUCUGAGCUUACUCAGCCC